AAUCUUCCACAAUGGGCGAAAGCCUGAUGGAGCAACGCCGCGUGAGUGAAGAAGGUUNNNGGAUCNUCAAACUCUGUUGUAAGNGACNAACAACUGCAGUAGUAUCUGGCUGUACCUUGACGGUACCUUAUUAGAAAGCCACGGCUAACUACGUGCCAGCAGCCACGGUAAUACGUAGGUGGCAAGCGUUGUCCGGAAUUAUUGGGCGUAAAGCGCGGGCAGGCGGUCCUUUAAGUCUGAUGUGAAAGCCCCCGGCUCAACCGUGGAGGGUCAUUGGAAACUGGGGGACUUGAGUGAAGAAGAGGAAAGUGGAAUUCCAAGUGUAGCGGUGAAAUGCGUAGAGAUUUGGAGGAACACCAGUGGCGAAGGCGACUUUCUGGUCUGUAACUGACGCUGAGGCGCGAAAGCGUGGGGAGCAAACA
Molecule: ribosomal RNA, 422 nt
Filed under: uncultured bacterium
Lineage: Bacteria
Description: partial 16S ribosomal RNA
Rfam family: Bacterial small subunit ribosomal RNA
Source: RNAcentral